CCUAUGCUGGACUGCCCCUCCUCCUGAUGGUUCUACUGGGAGUACUGGGAGGAUGCUGCUGGAGAAGGAGACGCAAAGAAGCUGAAGAAGCUGCCUCAGAGGAUGUGAUUUAUGCGGAUGUGGUGCAAAAAAAAAAGAAGAACAAAGCGCUACAUAGGUCGGACCACGAGACUACAUGCAGUUCAGGACAAAGUCCGCGACUUCCGCCCAUCAGAAUACCAGAUCCAGCUAUCUACAGUCUCCUGGGGUAAAAACCUGUCAAAUGAGGUUCAAACAGAGGCAAAGUAUAGAUUCCAAAAGGAUGGAAUGCUACGUUCUACGUGAUGUCGCCGUUAUUAGGAAAAA
Molecule: long non-coding RNA, 345 nt
Organism: Gadus chalcogrammus (walleye pollock)
Lineage: Eukaryota; Metazoa; Chordata; Actinopteri; Gadiformes; Gadidae
Exons: 3
Source: RefSeq, a predicted model, not a curated record